CCGGUUGAUCUAUCCAUGGCCAGGUUGAAGGUGGGGUAACACCCACUGGAGGACCGAACCCACGCCCGUUGAAAAGGUCGGGGAUGAGCUGUGGAUAGGGGUGAAAGGCUAAACAAAACCGGAGAUAGCUGGUUCUCCUCGAAAACUAUUGAGGUAGUGCGUCGCGUAUUACCUUCGGGGGUAGAGCACUGUUAUGGCUAGGGGGCCGCUAUAGGCUUACCAAACCAUGGCAAACUCCGAAUACCGAAGAGUACAAGCGCGGCAGACAGUCCCCGGGUGCUAACGUCCAGGGACAAGAGGGAAACAACCCAGACCGCCAGCUAAGGUCCCCAAUAUUGGCUAAGUGGAAAACGAGGUGGGAAGGCACAGACAGUCAGGAGGUUGGCUUAGAAGCAGCCAUCCUUUAAAGAAAGCGUAAUAGCUCACUGAUCGAGUCGUCCUGCGCGGAAGAUGUAACGGGGCUCAAGCCAAUAACCGAAGCUGCGGAUCCAUGGAGCAAUCCAUGGGUGGUAGAGGAGCGUUCCGUAAGCCUGCGAAGGUGUUCCGUAAGGAAUGCUGGAGGUAUCGGAAGUGCGAAUGCUGACAUGAGUAGCGAUAAAGCGGGUGAAAGGCCCGCUCGCCGAAAGCCCAAGGUUUCCUGCGCAACGUUCAUCGGCGCAGGGUGAGUCGGCCCCUAAGGCGAGGCGGAGACGCGUAGCUGAUGGGAAUCCGGUCAAUAUUCCGGAACCGCCGACGGGUGCGAUGUGGGGACGAAGAAGGCUAUGCAGACCGGGUGUUGGACGUCCCGGUGAAGCGUGUAGGUGGAUCCCUUAGGCAAAUCCGGGGGGUCAACACCGAGGCGCGGGACCAGGAGGGCUUGCCCUCCGAAGCUGCAGAUGCCCUGCU
Molecule: ribosomal RNA, 885 nt
Filed under: uncultured beta proteobacterium
Lineage: Bacteria; Pseudomonadati; Pseudomonadota; Betaproteobacteria
Description: bacterial LSU rRNA
Rfam family: Bacterial large subunit ribosomal RNA
Source: RNAcentral